Molecule: long non-coding RNA, 1854 nt
Organism: Lynx canadensis (Canada lynx)
Lineage: Eukaryota; Metazoa; Chordata; Mammalia; Carnivora; Felidae
Source: Ensembl
GCCAUGGUGACUCAGACAUCCGCCAAACCCAGGAGCUCCCCUUUUCUCCAGCGUUCUUCUUGUCCAGCAGGGAGGCGUGUGGACUGCUUCUGGGCCUCCACUGCCAGGCCUGAUCGCAGCCCAUGACCUUCGCGGAGGGGUGGGGGCGGGGGGGGAGCAACCAAGGGCCAGGGAUGUUGCCCAGCAAGACCGCGGCCUCACUGCGCCACCGGAGGAACAGCCACCGACGAGGCCCGGCGGACCCAGGCGCCGCCACCCACCCAUGCCCGCGGCGGGCCUGCGGGAGCGCAGGGGCCGAGGCCGUGAAGCCGGGCAGCCAGCCUUGCACCAUUGACAGCCGGGGCACGUCUGCGGAGCCCGGGGGAACAAUCAACGGACUCUAUGUCCCGGGAGCUGGGGACACGCCUGUAAGGCCUUUCUGCCUGCUCAUAGCCACUGGGAGAAAAAUCAAGCUGUGCAAUGUUCCAGCCGACUAAAUGGGCUUGCCUUCUGCCGAGAGGCAGUCCUGGAGGACACAACUAAUGUGCAAUCUCCCAGGCAGCUCUUCAUCAGAACAUCCCUUGUCCUUUUGUUUUUGUUUUCGUAUUAAAAGAUGUUUUUGCUUUCCUCUCAGUGUCCGUCCUGUUAUUUUGUAGCUACAACAAUGAAACAGGAACAGUUUAUCAUUCUUUUUUGUCCUUUGUAACCAUGCCUUGUAUUGGGAUGUCACAAAGCCCCAGAUACACCUCAGCGUGCCCUGUGCUUUUGAUGUUUACUUGCUACUCCCCGGGUCACCCAGAGACCCACACUUGAUUCUGCCUUCUGCCCCUCCCAGAUGGUUCUCUCCUGGACAAGGUCCCUCUCCCAGCUUGCAGGGAAAGGGGAUUCACUAAUUUGCUUCUCAAAUUAGAAAAGACCAAACCCAGGUUCUCCAGGUAAGUGAUUCUGGCUUAUACUGGUGACUAAGAUGUUGUAUGGGAGCAUCUCCCCAGGAUCACGUCUCUCAAGGAGAGAGAACGGCAGGCACGUUUCCACAGACAUUUCUAAAACUAUGGCAACUAAGUGAGUUUUACGGAUAAAAUUCUGGUGUAUUCCCAGGCAGCUCAAGUUAUUUAAAUUUUAGUUUUGUUCACAUGUAUGGGCGCACACAGGCCAACUAGGAUUAUGUUACCAGCGCAUUGCCACUGGACAAGUCUGGUGACAGCAACUCAGAUCAACAAACUUAUUUUCUGGAGAGUGACAAAGAAAAAAAAAGGCUCCCCAUACCUUUAAAAUUGUUAUUUUAUACUGUUUAACACCCCCCACAGCCAGGAAUUGGCCAGACUUCCCUGCUUCCUUUUCUAGGAACAGGUAACUAACCACUCUCCCCUCCUCCAAGACUUGGCUAUUUUUAAAAGCUAAAAUUUCUCUUUCCAAAGGGAGGAAAAGGAACGAAUUCCAUUAAUGAAUUACGUACACGGAAUGUGACUUGUCUGGGACAAUUGUAUUUGUAAAUAAAUGGCUUCCUGUUGAUUAUGUACCUUUUACUGAAAAAUGAACUCUAAUGUCUCUGAGCACUUAACAGAGCACAUAUUUCAACUUAUGGUUUACUUUCCACUUGUUCUUUUUUUUUAACUCACUAGAAAGAAAUCGGGUAAAAACUGAGUCAGUCGAGGUGUGGGGGUCGUUAUCCUUCAGCGUCCAUACUGACCUGGGGAAGAGCCACCUCUAAAGUUCUCACGUUUGUCAAAGUGUAAGCAAAGGGGGGUGGCUCCCUGGGAAUGUUAUUGGAACCAAUCUGGAGAGUUUCACUUUUGCCCCUGGGUCUUUGUAAAGAGGACCGCGGCCUCCUUUUGCAGCUUCCAAAGCGAAGCCGGCGCGGAAUCGUCUCGGCGG